UCCCUGGUGGUCCAGUGGCUAAGACUCUGAGCUCCCAGUGCAGGGGCCCGGGUUCAAUUCCUGGUCAGGGAA
Ovis aries (sheep) is the source of this 72-nucleotide transfer RNA. It matches the Rfam family "tRNA". From Rfam's summary of the family: Transfer RNA (tRNA) molecules are approximately 80 nucleotides in length. Their secondary structure includes four short double-helical elements and three loops (D, anti-codon, and T loops). Further hydrogen bonds mediate the characteristic L-shaped molecular structure. tRNAs have two regions of fundamental functional importance: the anti-codon, which is responsible for specific mRNA codon recognition, and the 3' end, to which the tRNAs corresponding amino acid is attached (by aminoacyl-tRNA synthetases). tRNAs cope with the degeneracy of the genetic code in two manners: having more than one tRNA (with a specific anti-codon) for a particular amino acid; and 'wobble' base-pairing, i.e. permitting non-standard base-pairing at the 3rd anti-codon position. NCBI's taxonomy places the organism in Eukaryota, Metazoa, Chordata, Mammalia, Artiodactyla, Bovidae. The record is from Rfam.